AUUGAACGCUGGCGGAAUGCUUUACACAUGCAAGUCGAACGGCAGCACGGACUUCGGUCUGGUGGCGAGUGGCGAACGGGUGAGUAAUGUAUCGGAACGUGCCCAGUCGUGGGGGAUAACGUAGUGAAAAUUACGCUAAUACCGCAUACGAUCUAUGGAUGAAAGCGGGGGAUCGCAAGACCUCGCGCGAUUGGAGCGGCCGAUAUCCGAUUAGGUAGUUGGUGGGGUAAAGGCCCACCAAGCCCAAGAUCUGUAGCUGGGCUGAGAGGACGACCCGCCACACUGGGACUGAGACACGGGCCAGACUCCUACGGGAGGCAGCAGUGGGGAAUUUUGGACAAUGGGCGAAAGCCUGAUCCAGCCAUUCCGCGUGCAAGAUGAAGGCCCUCCGGUUGUAAACCGCUUUUGUACCGAACGAAAAGGUUUCUAAUAAUACUAGGAGCUCAUGACGGUACUGUAAGAAUAAGCACCGGCUAACUACGUGCCAGCAGCCGCCGUAA
RNAcentral lists this ribosomal RNA (500 nucleotides) under uncultured bacterium. RNAcentral's name for it is "partial 16S ribosomal RNA". It matches the Rfam family "Bacterial small subunit ribosomal RNA", at positions 30 to 523 of the family's 1533-position model. The record is from RNAcentral.